This is a non-coding RNA of Pelobates cultripes (western spadefoot toad), 4888 nucleotides long. The record is from the annotation of a GenBank genome assembly. Lineage: Eukaryota; Metazoa; Chordata; Amphibia; Anura; Pelobatidae.
CAAAGUUUCAUCUAAUACAACUGGCACUGUUAACCAUUGUUAUUCAUUGUUGAACAUUGUUGUAAUGUUUAUUAUAAUUAUUCGUAUUGUAUCUAACGGUUUUUAAGCAAAAUUGUAAAGGGCUAACGGGAACAACAAUAAUAUCUGAAAAAGGUAUAGGCAUUGCACCAGAUCACACCAGGGUGCUAUCUUGGGGAUCUCACACACAAACACUACUGCCUUCAAUUAUCCAAGAUAACGUAUUGUCCAUAACCCCAAGACUUAAUUUCCCGAACUGCAUACGAAAGCAACCCACCUAUUGCGACUAACGAAGACAUCGCUACCCACUAUCCACAGUCUAAGAACCCACGAAAGUAACACACAUAUCAGUCUUACAAAUCCUAACAAAUAAAUAUAGAAACAAUACUUUUCAACCCCCUACCUUCCUACCAAACCCCCAGCCAUGACUACCAUAAACAUACUCACACAAAACGCUAGGGUUUAACCCCUUAAGGACAUAUGACAUGUGUGACAUGUCAUGAUUCCCUUUUAUUCCAGAAGUUUGGUCCUUAAGGGGUUAAACACCCCUGAAAAAAGAUAUAUGGCUGUAACAGACUUCCGCAGAAAUAACGCAGACAUAGUCUUCAUCCAAGAGACUCACUUUUGCAAAGACACAGCCCCCAAGUUACAAAACAGAGGCUAUCCAAAAGGCUUUUUCGGACACUACGCGGCCUCCAAAUCACGAGGGGUAGCAAUAUUAAUUGGGAAACAUGCACAAUUCACAUAGCAAGACCAACACUCGGAAGAUUCAGGAAGAUUUGUAUUCGUUAAAGGUAAAAUUUGGCAAACAUCUAUUUACCUAAUAGAAAGCAAAACCUGACCUUAAAGAAAAUUUUAUAUAAGCUCUCCACCUUCUAGGAACGCAUAUUAUUAGUGGGAGGGGACAUCAACAUAUUCCUAGAUGGGGACCUAGAUUCUACUGCAAAGCCACAGCACCAUAUGUCACAACCCCGAAAACAAAUCAGUAAAACUCUCCACGAUGCCCAACUAUACGACAGCUGGAGAACUAUUCACCCCACAGGCAAAGAUUUUUCAUUCUUGUCACCUCCCGCAGGUACAUACUCCCGCAUCGACACCCUCUUCCUCCAACACAGAUAUCUACCCCUAAUCAAAUCAGCUACAUACGGUCUAAGCACAUGGUCGGACCAUGCACCCAUGACACUGGCCCUGACCAUCCUGACCUUGCCCAACUGUCUUAAUCCUCAACAAUGCAGAACUCAUUACACAACUUAGAGACAAGGCUACCACUUACUUCAAGGAGAACACACGACUAGACACCUCCCCUGCUACUGUCUGGGAAGCUCAUAAAGCGGUUAUGAGAGGUGAGUUGAUUCGUAUCGCUUCCUCUUUAAAACGUAAGAGAGCUCAGAAUUACUCAGCUCACACAAGAAAUAAGAGAACUGGAACAUAAACACCAUCAAAACGACACCCCACUAGAUGUUUAUAAAACACUACUAACAAAAAUAUCAGAACUAUCUACACUACUAUUACUAUAUGCUAAACGUAACUUGAAACUGACAAAACACACUUACUACAUGAAGGGAGUGAAGGCAGGAAAACUCCUAGCACAGGCUCUCUGUCAAGAUAAACAAACCACAUUUAUCUCGGAGAUCAAACAAGACAACGGCACCACAACACAACAAAUGCCAGACAUCAUAAAGGCGUUUCAUAAAUUCUACACAAACCUCUAUAAUCUCACACAAACACACCCAGCCACAGAAGACAUCCUGAACUUCAUUAGACCUAGAAUCAAAAACACUAUCCCACAAGUUGAAUUUUGAAAAGUUGAAUUUCUUGACUAACCCAUCACAAUAGAUGAAUUCAUAAACACAGUCAAGAAACUCCCAACAGGACCUAAUGGCUAUACAGGCAAUGUUGACAAUAUUGUAAACUGCUAUCUCAAACAUUAGCACAAUCCUUCACUGAGGCGUUUAACACACAAAAACUCACAUCUACCAUACCCAAAUCUGCAUUGGAAGCAACAAUCACCCUUAUCCCCAAACCAGGCAAAGAUCCCUCAAUUUGUGGGAAUUACAGGCCAAUUUCGCUCAGAAAUAUUGACCUGAAAAUCCUGGCAAAAAUAAUGGCCACAAGAUUAAAACCCUUCCUACCAAAUCUCAUCCACCAAGACCAAGCAGGAUUCGUACCAGGAAGGGAAGCUAAACACAACACAACAAAAAUCCGGUUAUUUAGUAAUUGAUGCCGAAAAGGCAUUUGAUAGAGUCAACUGGUCGCUACUCACUCACACAAUGCGAUUUCUGGGCUUUGGACCAAGAUGGCAGGAGUGGCUGGCAGCCAUCUACUCGCCGCCCACAGCCCGACUCUGCAAAAACAGCCAGCUUUCGCACCCAGUAACCAUCACAAAUGUAACGAGACAGGGAUGCCCACUGUCGCCGCUCUUGUUUAUAUUAGUGCUCGAACCAUUCCUACAAGGAGUCAGGGACAAUAAACUCAUCAAUCUCACAAUCAACAAUCACGAAUAUAAAGUUACAGCAUUUUCAGAUGAUCUCCUCUUUACCAUAUCCAACCCACUAUCCACAAUACCAACCAUCUUGUCGGAAAUGGAUCUAUACAGCAAGGUCUCAAAUUUCCAAGCUAACUUGACUAAGUGCGACCUGCUUCCCAUACACACUUCGAGACCGCUAGACACCCAAUUACGGGAGAGGUUCCACUUCUCCUGGGCAUCCAAAUCUCGUAAGUACCUAGGAGUCCAACUAAUCUAAAUCAACUGUACGACCUAAACUUUCCCCAACUUCUGACCACCAUUACCAGAGACUGGCUGGCAGAGGCCCUGUUUUGGAUGGUUCUGUAGAGUCAACAUUAUAAAAAUGAAUAUACUUCCCCGCAUAUUAUAUAUUCUCCAGACACUUCCCAUUACAAUACCAAACAGAUUCUUUGCAAUGGCCAAAUCCAUACUUUAUCAACUUAAUUUGGUCUAACACUUACCCAAGGAUAGCCCGCUCUACACUAGUCAAAAGCAGAGACAAAGGAGGACUAAACCUACCUGAUAUUGAAACAUACCACAAAGCAACACAUCUCACUAGAAUCUAUGAAUGGACACACCCCUUCCCAACGCAACAAUGGGUAAUAUUAGAAAACACAUUCUCAGAGACUCCCUUAAGUGUACGCCCCUGGCUAAUAUCAAACCAAACACAAUGACACCACCCGGACACACACACCCGAGUAUUAAAGCUACACUCCAUGUGUGGCACAAACUUUCAAGGUCAACAAAGAUCUCACCCCACCCCUCCCCCUCUACGCCCUCACACAUAACCCCAGCUUCCAAAGGGGACAAUCAGGGAAAACGUACAGCAUAUACCAUAAAGACAAAGUGCUGCAACUAAAACAUAUGGUCGAUGACAACAAAUUGAAAAGCCCAAAUCAUACCUAAUGCUGCUCCCACAGGCAACCAACAACUGCACUUCUAUCAAACAGUACACUUCAUCUAAAGUCUAGACCUCCUACCAAAAGGUAUGCGAACCUUCACCUCCUUUGAACAACUGUGUACUACCCAUACACUCACACAAAAGAUUCUAUCCACCAUGUAUAAAUUAAUUAAUUAAUUAGAGAGGCACAAGACUCAGAAUUACCACACUGUACUAUGAAAUGGGUUGAAGAACUACAGAUAGACAUCACACAACAAGAAUGGUGGUCUAUCCUUCAGACAGCUCACAAAUCACCAUCCUCUAUCAUAGCUCAGGAAAGGAACUAUAAGCGCAUCACUCGUUUGCAUUAUAUGCCAGCACAAAUACAAAAAAUACACAACACGACCACAGAUAAAUGUUGGAGAUGCCAACGCACGGGAGCUCACCAUUCUCAUAUAUGGUGGCAAUGCCCAUCUUUAGCUAAAUGAUAAUAGAUGAGAAUUAAUUAGAGAAGCACAAGACUCAGAAUUACCACACUGUACUAUGAAAUGGGUUGAAGAACUACAGAUAGACAUCACACAACAAGAAUGGUGGUCUAUCCUUCAGACAGCUCACAAAUCACCAUCCUCUAUUAUAGCUCAGGAAAGCAACUAUAAGCUCAUCACUCGUUUGCAUUAUAUGCCAGCACAAAUACAAAAAAUACACAACACGACCACAGAUAAGUGUUGGAGAUGCCAACGCACGGGAGCUCACCAUUCUCAUAUAUGGUGGCAAUGCCCAUCUUUAGCUAAAUGAUAAUAGAUGAGAAUUCAUGCCCUCUUCCAAAUAAUCAACAGUAAAAUUACUUUUACUCCACAACUCUAUAUUUUCCUAAUGCCCCCUCAAGGCUUAUGAAGAGACAAAACAAUUAUUUUCAACCACUUAGUUUCAGCAGCCACACAACUGAUACCCAAAUAUCAGAUCCCAUCCAUUAGAGAGUGGAUAGGAAGAGUAGAGGACAUUAAACAAAUUACGUAUGCCAGAAACAGGAAUAUCUAGGUAUUUUCCAAAAUAUGGACACCCUGGGUAAAUUUCUUAAAUUCAGACACAAACCACAAAUACUAAUCCAGAUCCUUCUCAGACAGUUCCAGUUUGACAUAACUCACCAACUGGUCUAAAUUACCCUUGUUCCAACGGAACCACUUGUUUCACAAUGUAGAAACCAUAAUUUACGUAUGCCUUACCUAACUUACUAUCUAACUUACUAGUAUCUACUUUCACUAACUCAUACCUCUGCUAUACCAAACUAUGCACAGCUUACACCUUUAUAAAUUAUGUAUAAUUUAACGAUGCCGUGUGACAACUUUGUAACUCUACAUUGCUCUUUAUCCAUAUUGUAUUCAUGUAUCAAUUUUGUACCGUUACAAUGCGUUUGAUUCCCAUUGUAUUCAUGUAACUUCUUAUGCAUACUUAAGAGAAAAUAAAAAAAACUUUGAAAUAAAAAA